GGGGAUUUAGCUCAGUGGUAGAGCACUUGCCUAGGAAGCGCAAGUUCGGUCCUGGGUUCGGUCCCCAGCUCCG
This 73-nucleotide transfer RNA is filed under the name Rattus norvegicus (Norway rat). It matches the Rfam family "tRNA". Rfam says of the family: Transfer RNA (tRNA) molecules are approximately 80 nucleotides in length. Their secondary structure includes four short double-helical elements and three loops (D, anti-codon, and T loops). The record is from Rfam by way of RNAcentral. Lineage: Eukaryota; Metazoa; Chordata; Mammalia; Rodentia; Muridae.